This 449-nucleotide ribosomal RNA is filed under the name uncultured bacterium. RNAcentral describes it as "partial 16S ribosomal RNA". It matches the Rfam family "Bacterial small subunit ribosomal RNA", at positions 29 to 523 of the family's 1533-position model. The record is from RNAcentral.
AGCGAACGCUGGCGGCAGGCCUAACACAUGCAAGUCGAACGGAUCCUUCGGGAUUAGUGGCGGACGGGUGAGUAACACGUGGGAACGUGCCCUUUGGUUCGGAACAACUCAGGGAAACUUGAGCUAAUACCGGAUGUGCCCUUCGGGGGAAAGAUUUAUCGCCAUUGGAGCGGCCCGCGUCGGAUUAGCUAGUUGGUGGGGUAAAGGCCCACCAAGGCGACGAUCCGUAGUUGGUCUGAGAGGAUGAUCAGCCACAUUGGGACUGAGACACGGCCCAAACUCCUACGGGAGGCAGCAGUGGGGAAUCUUGCGCAAUGGGCGAAAGCCUGACGCAGCCAUGCCGCGUGAAUGAUGAAGGUCUUAGGAUUGUAAAAUUCUUUCACCGGGGACGAUAAUGACGGUACCCGGAGAAGAAGCCCCGGCUAACUUCGUGCCAGCAGCCGCCGUAA